UCCGUAGGCGGGUAAUUAAGUCAGAGGUGAAAUCCCACAGCUUAACUGUGGAACUGCCUUAGAUACUGGUUGUCUUGAGUUACAGUGAAGUAGAUAGAAUAUGUAGUGUAGCGGUGAAAUGCAUAGAUAUUAUAUAGAAUACCGAUUGCGAAGGCAGUCUACUAACUGUAUACUGACGCUAAUGGACGAAAGCGUGGGGAGCGAACAGGAUUAGAUACCCUGGUAGUCC
RNAcentral lists this ribosomal RNA (229 nucleotides) under uncultured bacterium. RNAcentral describes it as "partial 16S ribosomal RNA". It matches the Rfam family "Bacterial small subunit ribosomal RNA", at positions 568 to 796 of the family's 1533-position model. The record is from RNAcentral.